UACGUAGGGUGCAAGCGUUGUCCGGAAUUAUUGGGCGUAAAGAGCGUGUAGGCGGUUUGGUAGGUCCGCUGUGAAAACUCGAGGCUCAACCUCGAGACGCCGGUGGAAACCAUCAGACUAGAGUCCGGAAGAGGAGAGUGGAAUUCCUGGUGUAGCGGUGAAAUGCGUAGAUAUCAGGAGGAACACCUGUGGUGUAGACAGCUUACUGGACCAUUUCUGACGCUGAGACACGAAAGCGUGGGUAGCAAACAGG
RNAcentral lists this ribosomal RNA (253 nucleotides) under uncultured bacterium. RNAcentral's name for it is "partial 16S ribosomal RNA". It matches the Rfam family "Bacterial small subunit ribosomal RNA", at positions 524 to 776 of the family's 1533-position model. The record is from RNAcentral.